CCUGCUAGUCCCUACAAACAAAUGUUUUAUCGCUUAGUUCCCGCUGCUCCCCCUUCCAUUUGCUAGCUUCACGCACCGGAAGGUUUCCCUUCCUCUAGGCCGAGGAGGUGAAGCCAGGGCGGAGUCUUAUCUCACAGCAGGCUCACCUAGCUCGGCUGGCGUCCCCACCGUGGGCGCCCCGUCGCCCAGAGUUCCUCCCCCGGCCCCGCGCGGCCCCGCCUUCCCAGCGCGCCGGGUCUCCCCAGCAACGCUUCUGCCUGGGGCGCGACGGGCACGUGACCCGCGCGUCACGUGACCGGUCAGUCGGCGUCCUCUCGCUGGGUGGUGUAGCCUGCGCGCUGACCCAGCGGCCCUGCGGCGUCCGGCCUGUGUCAUGCAGGAAGCGGGCCGCGCGCGGAGCUCGGCGCCCACCUGAGCUGCUCGCGCCGAGGUGCGGCGUGGCGGGGCCCCGCGCGCCGGGGCCGCCAGGGGUGUGGCCGCUGGGAGGUCGCGACAGGUGGCUGCGUCGCGGUCGCCGCCCCAGGAGAGGCCGCGUGCAGCGGGGCGGGGUCCGGUCACCGGAUCUGCAGGCGGCCGAAGGCCUCGGGCGGUCUCAGGUGAAGUCCUGCCCAGGCUGGGCGGUGAGGACGUGCAGCGAGCAGCCCUUCCUGCCUUUGCCUCUGCCUCAGUUUCCACAUCCGCGAUGGGAGUGUGGACUCCUGCUCUCUGAGUGCCUGACGUGGCGUCUGGGGAGUCCUGCUCAAGUAGAAGCGCUGGAGGGAAAGCGUAGCUUGAAGUCAAUGGCCCAAAAUGACUCUGCUAGUGGAGCUUCACUUCCGUAAGGAGAAAGACCAGGUCAGAGGCUGGGAUGAGCAUGCCACUGCACCAGAUCUCUGCCAUCCCGUCUCAGGAUGCCACUUCUGCUAGAGUCUACAGAGGCAAGACCAAAGAUAAGGAGCGGGAGCAGGUAAUGUGAAAACAUCCUUCUUACAAUGCCUUUCUGGGAGUUCUUUCCUGGUAGCUGUGGCUAGAU
RNAcentral lists this long non-coding RNA (1012 nucleotides) under Meriones unguiculatus (Mongolian gerbil). Its description in RNAcentral is "lncRNA (ENSMUGG00000024547.1)". Lineage: Eukaryota; Metazoa; Chordata; Mammalia; Rodentia; Muridae. The record is from RNAcentral.